GCGCACUUAGCUUAGUUGGUAAAAAGCAUCACUCAUGAAGUUUUGAGGACAUGGGUUCAAAUCCCAUAGUGCACA
This 75-nucleotide transfer RNA is filed under the name Puccinia triticina 1-1 BBBD Race 1. RNAcentral describes it as "Puccinia triticina tRNA PTTG_20379". It matches the Rfam family "tRNA". From Rfam's summary of the family: Transfer RNA (tRNA) molecules are approximately 80 nucleotides in length. Their secondary structure includes four short double-helical elements and three loops (D, anti-codon, and T loops). Further hydrogen bonds mediate the characteristic L-shaped molecular structure. tRNAs have two regions of fundamental functional importance: the anti-codon, which is responsible for specific mRNA codon recognition, and the 3' end, to which the tRNAs corresponding amino acid is attached (by aminoacyl-tRNA synthetases). tRNAs cope with the degeneracy of the genetic code in two manners: having more than one tRNA (with a specific anti-codon) for a particular amino acid; and 'wobble' base-pairing, i.e. permitting non-standard base-pairing at the 3rd anti-codon position. Lineage: Eukaryota; Fungi; Basidiomycota; Pucciniomycetes; Pucciniales; Pucciniaceae. The record is from Rfam by way of RNAcentral.